CAGUCGCCACGGUAAUACGGAGGGUGCAAGCGUUAAUCGGAAUUACUGGGCGUAAAGCGCACGCAGGCGGUUUGUUAAGUCAGAUGUGAAAUCCCCGAGCUUAACUUGGGAACUGCAUUUGAAACUGGCAAGCUAGAGUCUUGUAGAGGGGGGUAGAAUUCCAGGUGUAGCGGUGAAAUGCGUAGAGAUCUGGGGGAAUACCGGUGGCGAAGGCGGCCCCCUGGACAAAGACUGACGCUCAGGUGCGAAAGCGUGGGGAGCAAACAGGAUUAGAUACCCCGGUAGUCCCUGUCUCUUAUAC
Molecule: ribosomal RNA, 301 nt
Filed under: uncultured bacterium
Lineage: Bacteria
Description: partial 16S ribosomal RNA
Rfam family: Bacterial small subunit ribosomal RNA
Source: RNAcentral